Molecule: ribosomal RNA, 538 nt
Filed under: uncultured Fibrobacterota bacterium
Lineage: Bacteria; Pseudomonadati; Fibrobacterota
Description: bacterial SSU rRNA
Rfam family: Bacterial small subunit ribosomal RNA
Source: RNAcentral
GCAAUGGGCGAAAGCCUGACGCAGCAACGCCGCGUGACCGAUGAAGCUUCUAGGAGUGUAAAGGUCUGUCGUGAGGGAAGAAAAAUCCGGAUGUAAAUAAUGUUCGGACGUGACGGUACCUCACAAGAAAGCACCGGCUAACUUAGUGCCAGCAGCCGCGGUAAUACUAGGGGUGCUAGCGUUGUCCGGAAUCACUGGGCGUAAAGGGUCCGUAGGCGUUUUGCUAAGUUGAUUGUUAAAUCCAUCGGCUCAACCGAUGAUCUGCAAUCAAAACUGGUAGAAUAGAGUUCGAGAGAGGAAAGUGGAAUUCCUGGUGUAGCGGUGACAUGCGUAGAUAUCAGGAGGAACACCAAUGGCGAAGGCAGCUUUCUGGCUCGAUACUGACGCUGAGGGACGAAAGCGUGGGGAGCGAACAGGAUUAGAUACCCUGGUAGUCCACGCCGUAAACGAUGAGUACUUGAUGAUGGAGGAUUCGACCCCUUCGUUGUCGUAGCUAACGCGAUAAGUACUCCGCCUGGGGACUACGACCGCAAGGUUG